RNAcentral lists this ribosomal RNA (2145 nucleotides) under Escherichia coli. Its description in RNAcentral is "partial 23S ribosomal RNA". It matches the Rfam family "Bacterial large subunit ribosomal RNA", at positions 1 to 2167 of the family's 2925-position model. Lineage: Bacteria; Pseudomonadati; Pseudomonadota; Gammaproteobacteria; Enterobacterales; Enterobacteriaceae. The record is from RNAcentral.
GGUUAAGCGACUAAGCGUACACGGUGGAUGCCCUGGCAGUCAGAGGCGAUGAAGGACGUGCUAAUCUGCGAUAAGCGUCGGUAAGGUGAUAUGAACCGUUAUAACCGGCGAUUUCCGAAUGGGGAAACCCAGUGUGUUUCGACACACUAUCAUUAACUGAAUCCAUAGGUUAAUGAGGCGAACCGGGGGAACUGAAACAUCUAAGUACCCCGAGGAAAAGAAAUCAACCGAGAUUCCCCCAGUAGCGGCGAGCGAACGGGGAGCAGCCCAGAGCCUGAAUCAGUGUGUGUGUUAGUGGAAGCGUCUGGAAAGGCGCGCGAUACAGGGUGACAGCCCCGUACACAAAAAUGCACAUUCUGUGAGCUCGAUGAGUAGGGCGGGACACGUGGUAUCCUGUCUGAAUAUGGGGGGACCAUCCUCCAAGGCUAAAUACUCCUGACUGACCGAUAGUGAACCAGUACCGUGAGGGAAAGGCGAAAAGAACCCCGGCGAGGGGAGUGAAAAAGAACCUGAAACCGUGUACGUACAAGCAGUGGGAGCACAGAGCAAUCUGUGUGACUGCGUACCUUUUGUAUAAUGGGUCAGCGACUUAUAUUCUGUAGCAAGGUUAACCGAAUAGGGGAGCCGAAGGGAAACCGAGUCUUAACUGGGCGUUAAGUUGCAGGGUAUAGACCCGAAACCCGGUGAUCUAGCCAUGGGCAGGUUGAAGGUUGGGUAACACUAACUGGAGGACCGAACCGACUAAUGUUGAAAAAUUAGCGGAUGACUUGUGGCUGGGGGUGAAAGGCCAAUCAAACCGGGAGAUAGCUGGUUCUCCCCGAAAGCUAUUUAGGUAGCGCCUCGUGAAUUCAUCUCCGGGGGUAGAGCACUGUUUCGGCAAGGGGGUCAUCCCGACUUACCAACCCGAUGCAAACUGCGAAUACCGGAGAAUGUUAUCACGGGAGACACACGGCGGGUGCUAACGUCCGUCGUGAAGAGGGAAACAACCCAGACCGCCAGCUAAGGUCCCAAAGUCAUGGUUAAGUGGGAAACGAUGUGGGAAGGCCCAGACAGCCAGGAUGUUGGCUUAGAAGCAGCCAUCAUUUAAAGAAAGCGUAAUAGCUCACUGGUCGAGUCGGCCUGCGCGGAAGAUGUAACGGGGCUAAACCAUGCACCGAAGCUGCGGCAGCGACGCUUAUGCGUUGUUGGGUAGGGGAGCGUUCUGUAAGCCUGUGAAGGUGUGCUGUGAGGCAUGCUGGAGGUAUCAGAAGUGCGAAUGCUGACAUAAGUAACGAUAAAGCGGGUGAAAAGCCCGCUCGCCGGAAGACCAAGGGUUCCUGUCCAACGUUAAUCGGGGCAGGGUGAGUCGACCCCUAAGGCGAGGCCGAAAGGCGUAGUCGAUGGGAAACAGGUUAAUAUUCCUGUACUUGGUGUUACUGCGAAGGGGGGACGGAGAAGGCUAUGUUGGCCGGGCGACGGUUGUCCCGGUUUAAGCGUGUAGGCUGGUUUUCCAGGCAAAUCCGGAAAAUCAAGGCUGAGGCGUGAUGACGAGGCACUACGGUGCUGAAGCAACAAAUGCCCUGCUUCCAGGAAAAGCCUCUAAGCAUCAGGUAACAUCAAAUCGUACCCCAAACCGACACAGGUGGUCAGGUAGAGAAUACCAAGGCGCUUGAGAGAACUCGGGUGAAGGAACUAGGCAAAAUGGUGCCGUAACUUCGGGAGAAGGCACGCUGAUAUGUAGGUGAAGUCCCUCGCGGAUGGAGCUGAAAUCAGUCGAAGAUACCAGCUGGCUGCAACUGUUUAUUAAAAACACAGCACUGUGCAAACACGAAAGUGGACGUAUACGGUGUGACGCCUGCCCGGUGCCGGAAGGUUAAUUGAUGGGGUUAGCGGUAACGCGAAGCUCUUGAUCGAAGCCCCGGUAAACGGCGGCCGUAACUAUAACGGUCCUAAGGUAGCGAAAUUCCUUGUCGGGUAAGUUCCGACCUGCACGAAUGGCGUAAUGAUGGCCAGGCUGUCUCCACCCGAGACUCAGUGAAAUUGAACUCGCUGUGAAGAUGCAGUGUACCCGCGGCAAGACGGAAAGACCCCGUGAACCUUUACUAUAGCUUGACACUGAACAUUGAGCCUUGAUGUGUAGGAUAGGUGGGAGGCUUAGAAGUGUGG